RNAcentral lists this non-coding RNA (125 nucleotides) under Chinchilla lanigera (long-tailed chinchilla). The record is from RNAcentral. Lineage: Eukaryota; Metazoa; Chordata; Mammalia; Rodentia; Chinchillidae.
AUGUUGUAUGGAGAGAGAAAAGGUUAGCAGUCCCCUUGACAAGACGGAAGAUGCCCUCUGGCCUGACAGCAUGAACACGGUUAAGGCAUUGCCCCCUACUUCAUGGCAUCUAUCUAUUCUUCCCU